CUAGUUGGUGGGGUAAUGGCCUACCAAGGCGUCGACGGGUAGCCGGCCUGAGAGGGCGACCGGCCACACUGGGACUGAGACACGGCCCAGACUCCUACGGGAGGCAGCAGUGGGGAAUAUUGCACAAUGGGCGGAAGCCUGAUGCAGCGACGCCGCGUGAGGGAUGACGGCCUUCGGGUUGUAAACCUCUUUCGACAGGGACGAAGCGCAAGUGACGGUACCUGGAGAAGAAGCACCGGCCAACUACGUGCCAGCAGCCGCGGUAAGACGUAGGGUGCGAGCGUUGUCCGGAUUUAUUGGGCGUAAAGAGCUCGUAGGCGGCUCGUCGCGUCGACCGUGAAAACCAGCAGCUUAACUGCUGGCUUGCGGUUGAUACGGGCGGGCUAGAGUUCGGUAGGGGAGACUGGAAUUCCUGGUGUAGCGGUGAAAUGCGCAGAUAUCAGGAGGAACACCGGUGGCGAAGGCGGGUCUCUGGGCCGAUACUGACGCUGAGGAGCGAAAGCGUGGGGAGCGAACAGGAUUAGAUACCCUGGUAGUCCACGCUGUAAACGUUGGGCGCUAGGUGUGGGGGGCCUCUCCGGUUCUCUGUGCCGCAGCUAACGCAUUAAGCGCCCCGCCUGGGGAGUACGGCCGCAAGGCUAAAACUCAAAGGAAUUGACG
Molecule: ribosomal RNA, 660 nt
Filed under: uncultured Actinomycetes bacterium
Lineage: Bacteria; Bacillati; Actinomycetota; Actinomycetes
Description: SSU rRNA
Rfam family: Bacterial small subunit ribosomal RNA
Source: RNAcentral